CUUAUGGGACGACCCAUAAGCGCUUUCUACAAUGGGGACGGCCCC
RNAcentral lists this non-coding RNA (45 nucleotides) under Klebsiella sp. Its description in RNAcentral is "Guanidine-II sequence". It matches the Rfam family "Guanidine-II riboswitch aptamer (mini-ykkC)". Rfam says of the family: Simpler in structure and has fewer highly conserved nucleotide positions than the ykkC-yxkD leader. Despite this each of its two stem-loop structures directly bind free guanidine. Therefore, mini-ykkC RNA motif represents a distinct class of guanidine-sensing RNAs. RNAcentral also lists the same sequence under 1 other name. Lineage: Bacteria; Pseudomonadati; Pseudomonadota; Gammaproteobacteria; Enterobacterales; Enterobacteriaceae. The record is from RNAcentral.